UACGUAUGGGGCAAGCGUUAUCCGGAUUUACUGGGUGUAAAGGGAGCGUAGGCGGCCUGGCAAGCCUGAUGUGAAAUACCAGGGCCCAACCCCGGGGCUGCAUUGGGAACUGCCAGGCUGGAGUGCCGGAGAGGCAGGCGGAAUUCCUAGUGUAGCGGUGAAAUGCGUAGAUAUUAGGAGGAACACCAGUGGCGAAGGCGGCCUGCUGGACGGUGACUGACGCUGAGGCUCGAAAGCGUGGGGAGCAAACAGG
This 253-nucleotide ribosomal RNA is filed under the name uncultured bacterium. RNAcentral's name for it is "partial 16S ribosomal RNA". It matches the Rfam family "Bacterial small subunit ribosomal RNA", at positions 524 to 776 of the family's 1533-position model. The record is from RNAcentral.